This is a long non-coding RNA of Juglans microcarpa x Juglans regia, 1747 nucleotides long. RefSeq lists it as uncharacterized. The record is from RefSeq and is a predicted model, not a curated record. The transcript is spliced from 2 exons. Lineage: Eukaryota; Viridiplantae; Streptophyta; Magnoliopsida; Fagales; Juglandaceae.
GUUUAUAUAAGCGCAAGGUUGAUCUGGCUUUUAGGGGUUUAAAUGGCUGGAAGGUGUCUGAUAAAAGACUCAAGUGAGCCACAUGUACUGCAUUUUGGAAUGAUGGAAUGAUUAUAUAUAAUAAAAAUGACUAUAUAUAAAGUAGGUAGGUAGGUUUCAUUCCCUUUAUCGCAUGUCAUGAUGUUUUGCAUAUUAUAUAAGAAAUUGUGGAUCACUAAAUUAUUUGAUUUUCCAUCAAAUUAAUGUGGUUCAUACACUUUUAAUCAUUAAGGUUUCUCUUAUCGUCAUGUUCUAAAUGUAAUGACUUCUUGAUCAAUCUUAUGAUGCAUUUAAUUAUAAUGCUUAUAAAUUGUAAAGUCCUAUUGUUUUGGGGUACCCCCAAUAAAUAAUAGCAUGAACUUAUUAUUUUUCUUUUAAAUCCGAAGCAAAAAGACAUGCGAAAUGUCAAAAAUUAAGUUGGCUUGUGUCACCUUGUACCCUAAUUUAGUUUAAAGGUCACAAUAUAGAAAUAUGAGGUGACAAUUUAACAACUAAUUAUGUUUUUUUCUUUAGAAAUAAUCAGCUCUACCGACCGCUUGUCUUCCCAUUUAAGCUUGUAUGUUAUAUAUUAUAUUUUUAUGGUGGUCAUAAUAUAAUAAAAGAAUUAAUCAUGUGGAAUAUAAUUAUUGUUCCUUAAUUAUCUUGACAUGAUGGGGACAAAACGUCACAAAUAAGAGAGGACACAUAAUUCAAUUAUUAUUUUUUUUAAUCAAGCUAUAAAUGAUUGCAUAUUGAAAACAAGAAAUCAUGGAGUGGUACUGCUACAUCGACCGGAGUUGCAUCCAAAUUAAUGGAGUACCAAAAAUCAUGGCACAUGAAACUUUCUUACUGGAGGCUAUCACAAAUACCCAGAAAUCCAACAAGUUCUGAACAUUACCAUGAUUUUCCAUUAUUUUGCCCAUCGAAAAACUCCAAUGAUCCCUUGAAAACCGAUUUGAGCAAAAUAGCCUGCUGCCACCUGAUUGAAUUCCCUAUAAACAUGCAUGCACCCAUGAUAGAGACAAUUGUUUGAAAUAUUGUCUUUGAUGAUUAUGAAAUGAGUAAUAUUUGAGUCACAAAGGUUUGAGAUUUCCUGUACUGCUUGUCGUGUAGUGACUGGCCUGCAUUAUCCAAAUGCAUGGCUUCUUGAGAAAGAGAGUUCCUUAUAAAACCUUUUGUAAGUGGAGAUAAUUUUGCAUACGAUUCCUGAAGCUAGGAUGGUCGUCAAUCCUGUUUCUGUGCAAUAGAACUUGAAACAGGAUUGGGAAGAUAAUGGCUUCAGAUGCUGAGUUUUAACUUUUCUUCUUUGUUAUUGGUAGGUUUAUUACUAAAGCAGCAUUUGUGGAAGACGUGUUUUUGGAGUUAUCUACAGAAGAGUCCUGAGCAGGGUGAAGAUAGAGUGCCUGAGCCAGAACAAACUUACAUACCCAAGCCUCCAUGCAUGCACAACUUUAAGAAGAAUGCUCCAUCAAAGAUAGAGAAUCAACUACUAACCUUGUAUGAACUUGCACAAGUUGUUUGGAUUAAUACAUGUUUCUAAAAUGUUAUCCAUCUGCCUCAAACUAUGUUUUAUGUAAGUAUAUGCAUGUUGGUGACUAUAAUGACGGUAUAUAUGCAUGUUAACACUAAUCUCGACAUCCUUCUUGUUGCCAGAAAGAGUUUUUCCGGUAAGGUAAGCACGCGGGAAAAACUUUUGAUAUGGCAAGAAAAAGAGGAAUUUCUUGGCAUA